AUAGAAUUGCAGGAUUAAGGUGCUAAUGAAUUAGCUUAAAAGGGAAUUCGGUGAAAAACCGAAGCUGUUUCCGCAACUGUAAGUGCUGAUGAAAUAAGAAUUUGCCACUGUCAAAUGAAGCGAAGGCUUUUAGUAGAUGGGAAGGCUCUUAGAGUAAACUGAUGCACAAGCCAGGAGACCUACCUUUCUCUGAUCGUACGA
RNAcentral lists this non-coding RNA (201 nucleotides) under Ureibacillus massiliensis. RNAcentral also lists the same sequence under 1 other name. The record is from RNAcentral. Lineage: Bacteria; Bacillati; Bacillota; Bacilli; Caryophanales; Caryophanaceae.